RNAcentral lists this ribosomal RNA (408 nucleotides) under Triticum aestivum (bread wheat). RNAcentral's name for it is "partial small subunit ribosomal RNA". Lineage: Eukaryota; Viridiplantae; Streptophyta; Magnoliopsida; Poales; Poaceae. The record is from RNAcentral.
AUGCGUUGUGCUGCUCACAUAUUAAACCUGAUUGUGAAAGAUGGAAUGAGUGUCUUAGAGGAAGGUGUAGAGAGAGUACGUGAUAGUGUUGCAUUUUGGUCGGCAACACCUAAAAGGCAUGAAAAGUUUGAAAAGAUGGCAAAAACAUUGAACAUAGAGUAUAACAGAAGGUUAAAUCUUGACUGUAAGACUAGAUGGAAUUCAACUUACCUUAUGAUAAGCAUUGCUCUACAAUACAUAGAGAUAUUUGAAAAAUUGAAGGCACGUGAAAAGAAAUUUGAUUGCUGCCCAACCAAAGAUGAUUGGAAGUUUGCAAAGGAAAUGUGUGAUAGGUUGAAGCUCUUCUUUGAUAUCACUGAGUCAUUUUCAGGAACUAAGUAUGUAACAGCAAAUCUCUUUUUCCCUAAA